RNAcentral lists this ribosomal RNA (766 nucleotides) under Proteus mirabilis. Its description in RNAcentral is "partial 16S ribosomal RNA". The record is from RNAcentral. Lineage: Bacteria; Pseudomonadati; Pseudomonadota; Gammaproteobacteria; Enterobacterales; Morganellaceae.
UUAGAGUUUGGAUCAUGGCUCAGAUUGAACGCUGGCGGCAGGCCUAACACAUGCAAGUCGAGCGGUAACAGGAGAAAGCUUGCUUUCUUGCUGACGAGCGGCGGACGGGUGAGUAAUGUAUGGGGAUCUGCCCGAUAGAGGGGGAUAACUACUGGAAACGGUGGAUAAUACCGCAUAAUGUCUACGGACCAAAGCAGGGGCUGUUUKGACCUUGCACUAUMGGAUGAACCCAUAUGGSAUUAGCUAGUAGGUGGGGUAAAGGCUCACCUAGGCGACGAUSUGUAGCUGGUCUGAGAGGAUGAUCAGCCACACUGGGACUGAGACACGGCCCAGACUCCUACGGGAGGCAGCAGUGGGGAAUAUUGCACAAUGGGCGCAAGCCUGAUGCAGCCAYGCCGCGUGUAUGAAGAAGGCYUUAGGAUCGUAAAGUUCUUUCAGCGGGGAGGAACGUGAUCAGGWKAAUACCCYUGUCCAUUGACGUUACCUGCAGARRAAGCCCCGGCUAACUCCGUGCCAGCAGCCGCGGUAAUACGKAGGGUGCAAGCGUUAUUCGGAAUUACUGGGCGUAAAGCGCRCGCAGGCGGUCAWUUAAGUCAGAUGUGAAAGCCCCGRGCUCAACUGGGGARKGUCAUCUGAAACUGGUUGGCUAGAGUSYAGUAGAGGAGRGUAGAAUUCCAUGUGUAGCGGUGAAAUGCGUAGAGAUGUGGAGGAAUCCCCAUGGCGAARGCGGCCCCCUGGACAAUAGACUGACGCUCAGGGCGAAAGC